Molecule: ribosomal RNA, 472 nt
Filed under: uncultured bacterium
Lineage: Bacteria
Description: bacterial SSU rRNA
Rfam family: Bacterial small subunit ribosomal RNA
Source: RNAcentral
UGGGGAAUAUUGGACAAUGGGCGAAAGCCUGAUCCAGCCAUGCCGCGUGUGUGAAGAAGGUCUUCGGAUUGUAAAGCACUUUAAGUUGGGAGGAAGGGCAGUAAGUUAAUACCUUGCUGUUUUGACGUUACCGACAGAAUAAGCACCGGCUAACUCUGUGCCAGCAGCCGCGGUAAUACAGAGGGUGCAAGCGUUAAUCGGAAUUACUGGGCGUAAAGCGCGCGUAGGUGGUUUGUUAAGUUGGAUGUGAAAGCCCCGGGCUCAACCUGGGAACUGCAUCCAAAACUGGCAAGCUAGAGUACGGUAGAGGGUGGUGGAAUUUCCUGUGUAGCGGUGAAAUGCGUAGAUAUAGGAAGGAACACCAGUGGCGAAGGCGACCACCUGGACUGAUACUGACACUGAGGUGCGAAAACGUGGGGAGCAAACAGGAUUAGAUACCCCCGUAGUCCCUGAGCGGGCUGGCAAGGCGCAU